Pelobates cultripes (western spadefoot toad) is the source of this 252-nucleotide non-coding RNA. The record is from the annotation of a GenBank genome assembly. Lineage: Eukaryota; Metazoa; Chordata; Amphibia; Anura; Pelobatidae.
GGAUUCUGUACUGGAGGAGGAAGCGGAAGUGGAUGGGGCAAUAGGGGAAGGGGUGCAGAGCUUCCUGCAUUCGCGUCACUUCCUCUUAAAGGAAAGUAAGGGGGCGGCAAAGGGAUCUCGGACUCAGGGGGCGUGUCCAAAAUGGGCCUAACACCAGUCCUAGUGGACAAACAAGUUCUGGCCACCAUGAGGCGACAUUGCUCCUCGUGGCAUAUCCGGAUCCAUUUUUGCGAGUCGUUUACGGCCUGCCCC